GGGCCCGUAGCGCAGUACGGACAGCGCGGCAGCCUCCUAAGCUGUAGGUCGUGCGUUCAAAUCGCACCGGGCCCG
Molecule: transfer RNA, 75 nt
Filed under: Nitrososphaerota archaeon
Lineage: Archaea; Thermoproteati; Nitrososphaerota
Also listed under: 1 other name
Description: tRNA-Arg
Rfam family: tRNA
About the family: Transfer RNA (tRNA) molecules are approximately 80 nucleotides in length.
Source: RNAcentral